AGCGGCGGAUGGGUGAGUAACACGUGGGGAACCUGCCCCUAAGUCUGGGAUACCAUUUGGAAACAGGUGCUAAUACCGGAUAAUAAAGCAGAUCGCAUGAUCAGCUUUUGAAAGGCGGCGUAAGCUGUCGCUAAGGGAUGGCCCCGCGGUGCAUUAGCUAGUUGGUAAGGUAACGGCUUACCAAGGCGACGAUGCAUAGCCGAGUUGAGAGACUGAUCGGCCACAUUGGGACUGAGACACGGCCCAAACUCCUACGGGAGGCAGCAGUAGGGAAUCUUCCACAAUGGACGCAAGUCUGAUGGAGCAACGCCGCGUGAGUGAAGAAGGUUUUCGGAUCGUAAAGCUCUGUUGUUGGUGAAGAAGGAUAGAGGUAGUAACUGGCCUUUAUUUGACGGUAAUCAACCAGAAAGUCACGGCUAACUACGUGCCAGCAGCCGCGGUAAUACGUAGGUGGCAAGCGUUGUCCGGAUUUAUUGGGCGUAAAGCGAGCGCAGGCGGAAAAAUAAGUCUAAUGUGAAAGCCCUCGGCUUAACCGAGGAACUGCAUCGGAAACUGUUUUUCUUGAGUGCAGAAGAGGAGAGUGGAACUCCAUGUGUAGCGGUGGAAUGCGUAGAUAUAUGGAAGAACACCAGUGGCGAAAGGCGGCUCUCUGGUCUGCAACUGACGCUGAGGCUCGAAGCAUGGGUAGCGAACAGGAUUAGAUACCCUGGUAGUCCAUGCCGUAACGAUGAGUGCUAAGUGU
Molecule: ribosomal RNA, 742 nt
Filed under: uncultured bacterium
Lineage: Bacteria
Description: bacterial SSU rRNA
Rfam family: Bacterial small subunit ribosomal RNA
Source: RNAcentral